RNAcentral lists this long non-coding RNA (766 nucleotides) under Olea europaea subsp. europaea. The record is from RNAcentral. Lineage: Eukaryota; Viridiplantae; Streptophyta; Magnoliopsida; Lamiales; Oleaceae.
UAGUACUAUAAAUUUAAAAAUUUGCUUUCGAUACAAUACACAUAUAGAAACACAGGCUCAAACUUAUGUAUAUACAAGGUUAAUUGCUUUUAACUUUUCAAAAUUGUGUCACUGUGUUUAUGACGUGAAUCACAUUGGACAAUAUGAGACUAAGGCAGUAAAGAUAGAAUUUCAAUAGUGGUAGACUCAACCACGGAGUGCUUUCUAUCUGUAUUUAAUGGCAGAUCGCUACGUCUUACUGAAAGUGAAGAGUGUGAUCCUCCGAACUCAAGAAUAAAGAGAAUAACAAUUCUCAGUUGGGCAACAUCAUACAACCUUCACAACCUCCUGUUCUCUGACAACUGAAUCUAGAGCUUCUUCCUAUGUCUCCAUCAAUAGUUUCUGAUCCCAAGGCCUCGACCUUCAAAACUUUCUCAAGAUGGGUUGCCCAGUUCCAUCCCCUUUCAUGAUCUUCAUGUUAUCAAUCUGUUAAACUGAUCAUUAGCUUGUAAAUAUUAGACUUUUCAAAAAAAUUAUAGAUUGCACAUGUAAGUCGGGUUGUGGGCGAAUAUGAUGCUAAAUUAGUUUGCUUGUAUUGCUGCAAUUGAAGAUGAUGUAAGAGGUAUUGAGAUUGGCAAAAGAGACAGAAUUCAAUUUCAAAUGCUACCUCUUUUCCUUUUAUAUGUAUAAACAUCACUCAUCCGAAAUUCACUCAUUCAAAGGAAGCACAAUAAAUAAUCUUUUAUUACAAUAUUCCAGCGGUAGGGACAAUAGAUCAGUUCAUAAG